UUCUUAUUGGAUGAUGACUACCCCGUGUCAUGUUCUGAUUGGAUGUCAACUACAUGGAUGAAAUACAUUGUUAUUUUCAUUGACCAAUCAGAACAUGACACAUGAUAGUCAUCAUCC
Glycine soja is the source of this 117-nucleotide non-coding RNA. The record is from Rfam. Lineage: Eukaryota; Viridiplantae; Streptophyta; Magnoliopsida; Fabales; Fabaceae.